UACGUAGGGAGCAAGCGUUGUUCGGAUUUAUUGGGCGUAAAGAGCGUGUAGGCGGCCAGACAGGUCCGUUGUGAAAACUCGAGGCUCAACCUCGAGAUGUCGAUGGAAACCGUCUGGCUAGAGUCCGGAAGAGGAGUGUGGAAUUCCUGGUGUAGCGGUGAAAUGCGCAGAUAUCAGGAAGAACACCUAUGGCGAAGGCAGCACUCUGGGACGGUACUGACGCUGAGACGCGAAAGCGUGGGGAGCGAACAGG
RNAcentral lists this ribosomal RNA (253 nucleotides) under uncultured bacterium. Its description in RNAcentral is "partial 16S ribosomal RNA". It matches the Rfam family "Bacterial small subunit ribosomal RNA", at positions 524 to 776 of the family's 1533-position model. The record is from RNAcentral.